AUGCGACCCCAGGUCAGGCGGGAUCACCUGCUGAGUU
Molecule: ribosomal RNA, 37 nt
Filed under: Epirixanthes papuana
Lineage: Eukaryota; Viridiplantae; Streptophyta; Magnoliopsida; Fabales; Polygalaceae
Description: partial 26S ribosomal RNA
Source: RNAcentral